Non-coding RNA from Cordylochernes scorpioides, 91 nucleotides. NCBI's taxonomy places the organism in Eukaryota, Metazoa, Arthropoda, Arachnida, Pseudoscorpiones, Chernetidae. The record is from the annotation of a GenBank genome assembly.
CUAUCGAGGGUUUGCUCAGUUGGAAGAGUGGAGGACUGUAGAUGUAUCAACGGUGAUCUUUAGGUCGCUGGUUCAAAUACAGCUUGAGGGA